CCUCACCUCACGGCCCAUAAAUACAGCUGGGAGCGCUGACGCCCACGGCGGCCCAGCGUUUAGUUCAGUGGACGUCCACCCGAAGGCCAUUUCACUCUGCUCCCGUUCUCUUUUUGUGACGACUGGAUGUACAUCACAAUGCGCGACUGGUCACCCUCUUAAAACAUGCGUCGACCCUCAUCCAUGUCAGAACUAGGGAUGAAUUCAGAGGAGUUCAAACUCUCUGCUGUUGCUCCGAGACCUUAAACCAGCAACGUCAGUCGGGUCCAGCCACAAAGUCGUUUUAGAGGAGGAGCCCGACGUCUCACAGAAACCAGUCCUCUCAGGAAGUCAACCAACUCGUGAAGACGGCUAACGAUCCCGGACGCCCACGUGCGUCUCAUGAAAGAGUCCCGUCGUCCUCCUCUCAGCCGGUCCUGAUGAGCUCAGCUAUUUUCAGAAGGGAUGUAUCCGAGUGUGAAACGCAAAGCCCUCUCCAAAGGAUUACUGUGUGAGUGGGAUGCACAGUGCAUGAAGACC
This is a long non-coding RNA of Gasterosteus aculeatus aculeatus (three-spined stickleback), 519 nucleotides long. The record is from Ensembl. Lineage: Eukaryota; Metazoa; Chordata; Actinopteri; Perciformes; Gasterosteidae.